GGGCAGCVGGCGCSCAAAUUGCCCAAUGUCAAAAAAAAACGAUGAGGCAGCGAAAAGAAAUAGAGCCGACAGUGCCUUUUGUAUUGUCGUUUUCAAUGGGGGAUAUUUAAACCCAUCCAAAAUCGAGUAACAAUUGGAGGACAAGUCUGGUGCCAGCACCCGCGGUAAUUCCAGCUCCMAAAGSCUAUAUUAAUGCU
RNAcentral lists this ribosomal RNA (197 nucleotides) under Trypanosoma noyesi. RNAcentral's name for it is "partial small subunit ribosomal RNA". Lineage: Eukaryota; Euglenozoa; Kinetoplastea; Trypanosomatida; Trypanosomatidae. The record is from RNAcentral.